CAGAAGGUCAAUUCAGCUAAAUGCAAGGCUAUGAAUGUUCUAUAUUGUACCUUGGAUGCAAAUGAGUUUAACCAAAUUUUCACAUAUAAUUUAGCAAAAAAAAUUGUGAUAGAUUUGAAGUAAUCCAUGAAGGCACAAAUCAAGUCAAAGAAUCAAAAAUUAAUAUACUUGUGCACCAAUAUAAAUUUUUCAAAAUAAAACCU
This 203-nucleotide long non-coding RNA is filed under the name Elaeis guineensis (African oil palm). Its description in RNAcentral is "long non-coding RNA (EGUI_LNC020611)". The record is from RNAcentral. Lineage: Eukaryota; Viridiplantae; Streptophyta; Magnoliopsida; Arecales; Arecaceae.